CCCUAUCUACUCCCCACUCCCACCCCAGGCCAUUGGGCUCCUUUUAGAACCUGCACAGAAGUGUCUCCUAAUCUUGGGGGAAAUUAAACUGUCUACUAAAGAAAUCACUAGAUGUCUACAUUUCCUGAUCUUAAAAGUUUGCAGUUAUUCUGUCAUGAAAUAGGAAGUGAAGCAACUACAGUUCUCUCUUCUCAAAACAGAAGGAUUAGGAUUUCCUUUCUGUUGUCUGAGUUCUGGGGCUUGCCUUUGGCUAGAGUUCUGUUGAUAUUUUUCUCCACCUAGACUCAGCCUUUCUUCCCUUCUCAACGGUAGCACUUAUCCUUUCCCAACACAGUCAGAGAACUUGUAUCUCCACCGGCUACUAAUAUAAUUCCAAUUUCCACCCCAUCUCAAACACAAAUUACUUCUGGUAAUUCCCUUCAAGCAAGUUCUGACACCUGAUGUGUUAUCUCAUGUUAAAAAAUUGUAAGUGGCCAUGCUAAGGAGCCAAAAAUGAUGAAACCUAGGAAUGCAGAAGCAGAACUUAGUGUUGUAAUAAAAAAUAUGAUUUACAACAAUCUUGUUUGGUAUACAUACAAUGACAUGUACAGUCAUUACUGUGCUACAUUGUUAUUAGACACAAAAUGGUAUGUGCUGUACUUUGGUGACUAUUAUUUCCAUCAGUUUUAUACAUGGUCUUCCUUAUGGUUUAAUUAUUCUUACUCAAAACACAAAAGGCAUCUCUUUUCUCUUUCUUAUGCACCAAGCAGAGUAUAUAGCUGAUGUCUUGUGAGUGUGGAGAACAGCCAGGGUACUCCAAGACUUGUCUUCCUCUUUCUUGCCUUUCUUCCAGUGUGGCCAAAUGAACUCCCUGUUUCCUGUCUCAGGUGAUUUCCAUUUGACCCUGAUGUUCCCUUUUUACUAUGUGCUUAUUCCGUGCCCCCAGCCAAUGUUUCCCUGAGCAGCCCUUCUCUUUUCCUACUCUUCGUCGGCUGGACCAGUUCUAGAUCAAUGUGAUGCCAAUCAGUGCCAGGCUCCUUGGGGUCAGUAGGCUGUGCCUGGUAUCAGGCUUUCUCCAGAACUGAAGGGAUGAAUAUAUUGUGAUUAUUGUUGCCUAAGAGACUAUCCAAAAUUUUAAAAAUACUCAACAAAUACAGCCAGGUACUCAAAACCUUCAGAGCAAAGGAAGCCUGCUUACCUAAAUUUUGGUUACAAAGGAGUUACAUAUGUUAUAAUGGAGUUUCAGAAAUAUGACAAGGGAAUUUUUAGCUUAAGUGUCUCUUCAGGGCUUUGCUGAAGAACAGAAAUCUAGUGUGUUUGGCUCCCUUGGCUGCCUGGUUUUCUUCAAAGGGGUCUCCAAGAAGGUUCCUAUCCUGCCCAGACCUCUCUCCAUUCCCAUAAACAAUGCUGCUGUCCGUGCUGCUCCAAGCUCAGCACUAGGAGCCCUCCCCAAGGCCAAGCCUUAGUUCAGACUGAGGAGAGCCUCUGCUACCCUCGCUUGUGGAGUUAGGAGGGGCAUGUGAAUGGGGUUCCCUUGAGAACAGAGACGAAGUCACAGGACCUAUGUUUAUCCCUCUUCCACCAUGGUAAUCCCUAAAUAAUGUUUAUAAUUUCUCACUCUACAGUUACUCCCUAGUAGUAUGGUAUACUCUGAGGCUAAAAUAAAACAAACCCUGUCAACAGACUAGGCCUUUUUGAUCAGUCAGAAAUGCUCAGUACUACAGAAGCGGACCUCAUCUCUAUACUAACUGAGUUGUUUCCGUAAAACUGAUCCUGUCUCCUGGAGAUGGCUAGCAUCCAGUCCCCCAGUGCAGAAGAAAGAAGCUCAGUUUCCCAAAUGGGCAAGGACCGCUACUGGUAGACAGAUAGGGAAUAGAUGGGUUGGAAGAAAGGAGAAGAGCAGAACAGAGUCAAGUGUCAGCGUUUGAGCUAUUCCAGGGUGAACCCAGCAAUCUCAGGUUUGGUCUUUUGAAGCAAACCAAGAUCCCCAGGAAACUGUGGCAUGUUCACGUACUUGCCAUUGAACACAGAGUUGUUGAUCCAACGCCACCUUUUCUCUUCACGAUGGUAAAUUAAGCCAAUAAAAUACUUCUCAGCAUCAGUUAUGUCCUGAAGAAACUUCUGGAAAUAAAAAAAAAAUUUUA
This 2123-nucleotide long non-coding RNA is filed under the name Homo sapiens (human). RNAcentral describes it as "PREDICTED lncRNA (TCONS_00240757)". Lineage: Eukaryota; Metazoa; Chordata; Mammalia; Primates; Hominidae. The record is from RNAcentral.